AAAACAUGUGCCGUGCUGAGGUGCCGCUACAGUAUCAAACGAAGGCAGUGUGUGGGUACGUACAACUACUGCGAGUGCGUAGCGUAGUGGCCUAGUACUCCUAUUUCUUCUAUAUAACAAAGCCGGUUAGAAACAGUGCACAAGAGUGUGUCCACGUCAGCUAAAAAUCGGUGUUCAUCCGAUACUACAUCAACGGCUGAGGAAGCACCUCGUGGCAACGCAACUGAAACAUAGGUGGGAAAAGACUGUCUCCCGCAGCGGCUGUUCAGCUUGCUUUCCUCACGCGGCUGGAGACUUCUAGGCUGCUUCCAUAUGCGUGCGAGUGCCAGCCGUUACGGAGCAAAAAAGCUUUGCCAGCCUUACCGUCCCUACGGCACGACGUCUCUAACGUCGGCGACCGCGACGACGACGCCCCCGCGUAUCCCCUCCUCGCGUGCUCCGUUCGCAAACGCUGCCUCCAUCUCCUGCAGGUGCGGCCAUCCUGUCACCCCCAAAAAUCUCAGAAUCGUAGCUAUUAGGGUUUCUACCUGUCGAUCUAGAAAUAAACCAUCCGUCCGAACGCGCUGCGGAGGUUGGUGGCACGGCGAGGCUGUGGCUAUUCGUGUCCGGAGACGAGCAGCGUGAGAUAACACGGCUCCACCUCCUACCCCUCCCAAUCGACGCAAGCCUCUACUGCGAACCCGUGAAGAAAUGCGCGGACGACACCGAAGCCACGCCGCCGCGCUCAUGCACCCGCACGACCGACGAUGGCCGCUUGAUGCAAUAUCCGACGACAAAGAAAAAGGUCCAGAGACACAAUUGAAUUGCCGUCCAAAAGAUCACAUUCUGCAACAAUAUCUCCUACAUUAAUUAUUUUAUGCUUUCCAUGAUAUCGUCAUUCCAGUUUUCCUUCUUAAUUACUGAGACCAUAUACCUGAUCUUCUUUGUACUACAUUUCAAUGACAUAUGUUUUUAUCUUCAUGUACAACAUGUUAUACAAUGUUCUCUAUUCUAUUCAAGUUCAUCCCAAACGUGAUACCAUAUAAAAAUACAUAUAAAGGAAAUAGGCUAAAUGUGAUGGACACUUAUACUAAACGUAUCAAUCUCUGCAUUUUCCCUGUUUCUUUGUUUUUUAUUAUUUGUUGCAACGAUCUGGCAUUAUUUGUGAAAAUAUAUAUAAAUAACUUGCUAAUUUUUUAAAAUAUGUGCCCAAAAUGAUACAAAUACAACUCACUCCAUAAAUGAAGGUACAAAGAAUAGUCCAUUAACAUUUUUUACAAUUCGGCUGAAGGUUCAAGCAAGGACCCUUGCGCAUCAGUGAAGAAACGGACAAUAAAAUCUUCCAAGAACUAAAAGAUUCCCUCGUAUCACCGCCAGUCUUUUGAGUUGUGGGAUAUUUAUUUUGUAUUAUCUAUGUAAUGAUAUGUAUAUAUGUUUUUUUAAAACAAUUUGUUUAAAUAUAACAAACUAACUCCAGAUAUUGCAACAGACAUAUUAACCCUUGGUAUGUCUCACCUAACUUUAUUUUAGAUAAACCUAUCUAUUCUAGACUCUACUCAUAUGUUCUGUGUUUGGUGUGAGUAUAUUAAUUACAAUAAGUACAAAUAGUUUGCUUACAAUCAAUAUAACAUAUUUAAUAUUAAAAUUACAAAACAUUUGUGUUAUGCUGUAAAUAGAUUAUAUUGAACAAACCUAUUCACUUAUUGUAAACAGAUUCAUCUUGUCCCUGUAUUACAAUAUUUAGCAAAUUAAAUAAACUAAAAAUGUUACAGUUUGUUUAACCUGUAAACAGAUUUAAAUAUCGUUUUUUGCACCAAAUUUGUUUCCUCAUUAAUUCAAAGGUCCAUAUACACUAAAAUUAUUUUUCCCUUAAUUCAAAGAGACUUAGUUCUCUUGUGUUUUUUGGGAAAACAAAGAUGUCUAAAAUUUUGCACUUCGUUGCCAGGACUGUUUUGUAGUCUUGGUGCUUUGUUGUAAUCAGAUUCAUCUUGUCCUUGUAUUAUAGCCAUUAGCAAAGUAAUUCAAAUAAAAUUUUGCAGUUUGUUUGCAUUCUGUAAACAGUUUUAACAUCAUUUUUUGCUCUAAAUAUGUUUUCUCAUUAGUUCAAAGGUCAAUGUGCACUAAAUAUGUUUUACCUUAAUUCAAGGAGAUUAUGUUCUUCUUUAUUUUUGGGAAAACAAAGAUUAUCUCAGAUUUGUCCUUCAUCCGUUUUCCAUGCUUCUAUAUACAAUUGUGCUUUGGAAAAAUUUGGGAGCCCUUAAAACCAAACUAACCCACUUCAGCCAAUGUUUUUUUUUCUUAUUUUAGUUUUUAGGUGAAAUGAACAAGCUUGUAUGCUUUAACCAUGCUAUUUCAUGGAUGUUGGCUAACCACUCCAUAAAGUCAGCUUAAUGUCCUUUGCGUCCAAACUGGAAAAUGUUUGCUUGCUAAUUGGUGCCUUGGCGCUAGCUAGAAAAGUGGGGGAUGCCUGUGAUAUACAUUGCUCAAUUUGAUGAUCCUGUUUCAAAAUUCUUAAACCAUUAUGUAUAUCAACUUCCAUUUAGCAUUGAUGCUACCCUCUCCUGGUAGUAUAUGAAUACUAGCAGGAUAAAUGAACUGAAAUUUUGCAGACAAUGUUUUCCUUUUUUUGGUUUGUUUUAAGAUGAGGUGAACACGCAUGUAUGUAUGUUGUAACCAUGCGACAAGUUUCUAACAAAACAUCUCAUUAAUGUAGUCUAUCUGCUCAUAUGUUAGUUUGAUGUCAUUUGCGUCCAACAAAAAAGAAAAAAGUUUGCUUCUUCGGAAAAUAUCUCAUGAAUGUAGGCUAAGCACUCCAUAAUAUCAACUUUCCUGACCUUUCAUAUGCAAAA
Long non-coding RNA from Zea mays, 2828 nucleotides. RefSeq lists it as uncharacterized. The transcript has 2 exons. The record is from RefSeq and is a predicted model, not a curated record. NCBI's taxonomy places the organism in Eukaryota, Viridiplantae, Streptophyta, Magnoliopsida, Poales, Poaceae.